UCGUCCAAACCCUAGCCGUGCCCUCCUCCGUGCGCCGCCGCCCCCAUCAAUUCUGCCCAACACCGUCGUCCCCUUCCACUCGCUCUCCUCCAUGAGCCGGAUCCACACCUCCUCCGGCUCCCCUUCCACUCACUCUCCCGUUAAGGCCGAGAUGGACGUUCGAUGGCCUCAACUCCUGGAUCCCCACCUCCUCCAGCUCCCCUUCCACUCACUCUCUCUCGCCACAGAUAGUCAACAAAUCAGAUGGCGGCAACCGGGCUCGCGCUCUCGCUACGCCCCGCACAGCCGUCGACGCGCGUGCCGAGAAGGAUUCUCACGCCGCCUCUGCUUCCGCAGGGGCGCCUCGCCGUCGGCUGCCGCGCGAGCGUGCUUGCCUCAUCGCCGAUGUUGCCUCGCGCGUGCCCCGUCUUUGCAUGCCGCGCCGCCACUUCCUUCCAGAAGCUCGACGCCGUCGGUGAGUCCCCCCUCUUUGUGGUCUCCCUGCUCUGGAACCUUGUGGUCCUGAUUAGUUGUGGCUUUGCGCGAUUGACUGAAUGGCUGAAUGUGGGUCGUCUGUCGCGCGCGCGGGCAUCGGUGCGGGAGGAGGAGGAUUCCUUCAGGUCGGCAGCUGCGGUGGGGCACAUGCUGCUUCCCCUCCAGCGUUGCAUCUUCUCCGACCACCUCCCGCCGGUGCUGGCCUACUGCUGCCUCGUCCGGGAGGACGACCGCGAGGCGCCCAGCUUCCUCUUCGAGUCUUUCGAGUAGGCCUCCGAGGGCACCAAUGUGGGGAUUAAUCCAGAUCCUCGGGGUCGUCGGCGGUGGCAGCCCUCCCUGACGUCGCCAGCUGCAUCGGCUCAUCGGAGGACGCGAUGAGCGGACGCAGAGAUGCACAACAUGCCCGACUACUUGGGAUCUGGAUAGGUUGCAACUGGGAGUAAAAUAUGCGUCUGAACUGAUUCUCUGGUGCGAAAAUCGACGACCAAGAUCCACUUCAGCUUGGUAGUGACCUGUGAGAGAUUUGUGGUGGUAAGCGGCACAUGUCUGAUCCCUGGGCAUCGGUUCAUUUAUGAUGUUUGAUCCUGGUCGUCGGUUACUUGCCAAGAUGGGAGAUUAUUUUCGCUU
Long non-coding RNA from Triticum dicoccoides, 1101 nucleotides. RefSeq lists it as uncharacterized. NCBI's taxonomy places the organism in Eukaryota, Viridiplantae, Streptophyta, Magnoliopsida, Poales, Poaceae. The record is from RefSeq and is a predicted model, not a curated record. The transcript is spliced from 3 exons.